AGGAAAGAAAUGGCAUGAUCCUGGGUGUCCAGAGUGCUUGACAGAAAGCAAAAUCAAACUGCAGUGCCCUUGGACUUCCAAGGCUCCCAGCCCAUCAGAGCGCCAGGCUCCUCACGGAAAGGUUUCCUCCUGCAGCACCAGCCCACUCUACAGCUGUGGGUUCAGGCCAGCGGCACCAAGUGUCGCGGACCUCAGACUGAGGUGAUGAGCAGAGAUCUGUGCACAGCUCCAGUCUCCAGCGUCAUUUCCUGCAGCCGCUGGGAAAGGAAGUGA
This 273-nucleotide long non-coding RNA is filed under the name Chinchilla lanigera (long-tailed chinchilla). RNAcentral's name for it is "lncRNA (ENSCLAG00000027122.1)". The record is from RNAcentral. Lineage: Eukaryota; Metazoa; Chordata; Mammalia; Rodentia; Chinchillidae.